UUAGAUACCCUGGUAGUCCACGCCCUAAACGAUGUCAACUAGUUGUCGGGGAUUCAUUUCCUUGGUAACGCAGCUAACGCGUGAAGUUGACCGCCUGGGGAGUACGGUCGCAAGAUUAAAACUCAAAGGAAUUGACGGGGACCCGCACAAGCGGUGGAUGAUGUGGAUUAAUUCGAUGCAACGCGAAAAACCUUACCUACCCUUGACAUGUCUGGAAUCCUGAUGAAAGUUGGGAGUGCUCGAAAGAGAGCCAGAACACAGGUGCUGCAUGGCUGUCGUCAGCUCGUGUCGUGAGAUGUUGGGUUAAGUCCCGCAACGAGCGCAACCCUUGCCAAUAGUUGCUACGAAAGGGCACUCUAUUGGGACUGCCAGUGACAAACCGGAGGAAGGUGGGGAUGACGUCAAGUCCUCAUGGCCCUUAUGACCAGGGCUACACACGUGCUACAAUGGUGGAUACAAAGGGUUGCUAAGCCGCAAGGUGGAGCCAAUCCCAUAAAGUCCAUCGUAGUCCGGAUCGGAGUCUGCAACUCGACUCCGUGAAGUCGGAAUCGCUAGUAAUCGUAGAUCAGCAUUGCUACGGUGAAUACGUUCCCGGGUCUUGUACACACCGCCCGUCACACCAUGGGAGUUGAUUGCACCAGAAGCACGUAGCCUAACCGCAAGGGGGGCGCGUACCACGGUGUGUUCAAUGACUGGGGUGAAGUCGUAACA
This 711-nucleotide ribosomal RNA is filed under the name uncultured Burkholderiales bacterium. Its description in RNAcentral is "bacterial SSU rRNA". It matches the Rfam family "Bacterial small subunit ribosomal RNA", at positions 778 to 1493 of the family's 1533-position model. The record is from RNAcentral. Lineage: Bacteria; Pseudomonadati; Pseudomonadota; Betaproteobacteria; Burkholderiales.